RNAcentral lists this ribosomal RNA (107 nucleotides) under Crocodylus porosus (Australian saltwater crocodile). The record is from RNAcentral. Lineage: Eukaryota; Metazoa; Chordata; Crocodylia; Crocodylidae.
CUGUAUGGCCAUGCUUGUCUCAAUGCACCUGAUCUUAGAAGCAAAGCAGAACUGGGCCUGGGACACCAGGCUGGAUCACCAGCUUCAAAUCCCAGGUAGUGUAUAUU